Molecule: long non-coding RNA, 1014 nt
Organism: Octopus sinensis (East Asian common octopus)
Lineage: Eukaryota; Metazoa; Mollusca; Cephalopoda; Octopoda; Octopodidae
Exons: 2
Source: RefSeq, a predicted model, not a curated record
GUCUCUCAGUGCUAUCUUCACUGUUUGAGAAGAGUAUAUAGAAUGACCUCGGUCGAGAUUACAAACAGCUUUGGCUAGUUCAACAUUGAUGUAAACACUAAUUCGAUUGGCUGACACGUUGGUCUCUACUACGCUCGCACCGCUGGUUAUAACUUGGCGCAAAAUGUCUCGACUUAUUUUCGCGCCAUAGUUCCAAGCAGCCAAUCACAGCUUUCCAUUUCGGAAGUUCAUUGGGAGCCAUGUAAAGCCUAUAAAUAAGGUUUCUCAGAAGAAUAUUCGUCUUAGGUUUCCAGUCCUUCUCAGGGCGAACCUCUGACCACACAGAGCUCGUCUUAGGCUUUUAGUUCUUUUAAGAACUAAGUCUCUGACCACACAGAAUACUCGACCAAGUUCCAGUUUCGAGGCAGGCGACCACCAUUAAUACAAGAUGUUACAGAUACCUCUCAUACUGUUAAUGUGAAAUAUCACCAUGAAGAAAACGGUUACAAGAUAUCUAUAACUAGAGAAAAAUAACCAAGCAGAAAAUAAUGAAGAAGCAGCAAGAACCAAUCGACAAACAUCGAAGAUUUAAAUUGUACACGAGACAACUACAGAUUCAACUAUAGCGGUUAGGUGAAAUUCUCGCCACGAAGAAAACGGCUACAGUAACAUGUCUGGAAGUAUAUUCAUAUCAAGAGAAAGAUAAACACAACGAGUGAUUCAAUUAAUCUCAACUGCGACACGCAAUAUCUUGAUAUGGAAGUCUGACGCUGUACCCCUUGAAACGGUAAAUCAAUUAUCUGUUCUUGGGUUCUAGUUUCUUCUAAGAACUACCUUAAGCCAUCUGUUAUUACCUGUUGCCAAGCCGAUACCAACAACAUUAACUGUGAAUCAAAUCCCAUCGUCAAUUCACUGGUCAGUACCUUUUUACGCCUAACGAACACACAGACACAAAAACAUGCGAACACUUACAAACUUCCAACAUCAAACAUGAUUGUAAAAUAUGUAAAAUAAAUAAUGUAUAUAUCUUAAAAA